GAAUAUCCUCUACAUAGUAAAAGCUUUGGAUGUUACUUUAUAGGCAUGCAUGCUAAUUUCUGACCCAAUCACUGGUAGAAAAUUGCAAGGGCAAUCCUACCAUACAUUCAGAUGUAGAGAGUCAACAAUAGUCCAUUGAAUUGACCCAAACGGCUCCGUCUUCAAAAGUCUCUCCUGUCCUUGAAUUUUUCCAGUGUAUUUAUACAAGCGCAUAAUUCCCGUAAAAAAUUAGAAUCUUUGAAAAAAAGACAUUCCAAAAAGGGAAAAUCUUAGGAUUUGUAUGCAAUUGUCCUUUCUUACUUACAAAAAAUAAACUUAAUAUAAAA
This 326-nucleotide long non-coding RNA is filed under the name Homo sapiens (human). Its description in RNAcentral is "HSALNT0057178". The record is from RNAcentral. Lineage: Eukaryota; Metazoa; Chordata; Mammalia; Primates; Hominidae.